RNAcentral lists this ribosomal RNA (594 nucleotides) under uncultured bacterium. RNAcentral's name for it is "bacterial SSU rRNA". It matches the Rfam family "Bacterial small subunit ribosomal RNA", at positions 8 to 612 of the family's 1533-position model. The record is from RNAcentral.
AGAGUUUGAUCAUGGCUCAGAGUGAACGCUGGCGGCGUGCCUAACACAUGCAAGUCGAACGAGAACGGAUAUAAGUUUACUUAUAUUGUCAGCUAAGUGGCGCACGGGUGAGUAAUAUAUAGUUAAUCUGCCCUGAAGAAGAGAAUAAUUGUUGGAAACGACUUGUAAUGCUCUAUAUGCCUUUAUCACAUAAGUGAGCAAGGGAAAUAUUUAUAGCUUCGGGAUGAGACUGUACGGUAUCAGCUAGUUGGUGAGGUAAUGGCUCACCAAGGCUAUGACAUCUAACUGGUUUGAGAGGAUGAUCAGUCACACUGGAACUGAGACACGGUCCAGACUCCUACGGGAGGCAGCAGUGGGGAAUAUUGCACAAUGGAGGAAACUCUGAUGCAGCAACGCCGCGUGGAGGAUGACACAUUUCGGUGCGUAAACUCCUUUUAUUAGGGAAGAUAAUGACGGUACCUAAUGAAUAAGCACCGGCUAACUCCGUGCCAGCAGCCGCGGUAAUACGGGGGGUGCAAGCGUUACUCGGAAUCACUGGGCGUAAAGAGCAUGUAGGCUGAUUAAGUAAGUUGGAAGUGAAAUCCUAUGGCUCAA